This 462-nucleotide ribosomal RNA is filed under the name Vreelandella stevensii. RNAcentral describes it as "partial 16S ribosomal RNA". It matches the Rfam family "Bacterial small subunit ribosomal RNA", at positions 338 to 794 of the family's 1533-position model. Lineage: Bacteria; Pseudomonadati; Pseudomonadota; Gammaproteobacteria; Oceanospirillales; Halomonadaceae. The record is from RNAcentral.
CCUACGGGGGCUGCAGUGGGGAAUAUUGGACAAUGGGCGAAAGCCUGAUCCAGCCAUGCCGCGUGUGUGAAGAAGGCCUUCGGGUUGUAAAGCACUUUCAGUGGGGAAGAAAGCCUUGGGGCUAAUACCCUCGAGGAAGGACAUCACCCACAGAAGAAGCACCGGCUAACUCCGUGCCAGCAGCCGCGGUAAUACGGAGGGUGCGAGCGUUAAUCGGAAUUACUGGGCGUAAAGCGCGCGUAGGCGGUCUGAUAAGCCGGUUGUGAAAGCCCCGGGCUCAACCUGGGAACGGCAUCCGGAACUGUCAGGCUAGAGUGCAGGAGAGGAAGGUAGAAUUCCCGGUGUAGCGGUGAAAUGCGUAGAGAUCGGGAGGAAUACCAGUGGCGAAGGCGGCCUUCUGGACUGACACUGACGCUGAGGUGCGAAAGCGUGGGUAGCAAACAGGAUUAGAUACCCAGUAUC